GCCUUACCUUGCACAGAGGGUAAAAAGAAAAUGCAAGACCACCAUGCUGCAUCGGGAUCUCUGAAAGAACGUGAGGAAGACGGUUUCCAAAGGCAGGUGAAGAAAGUACGCGUCCUUGAUGAAAUCAGUGGACAGAGAACUAUGGACACUGAAGGGAAGGUGGACAUGAACGGAUGUGAGCUGGUGGGAAAGCAGCAGCUGUUGGCAGCAAAGGAGGAGGCAAAAUUGGCUGAAGAGGAGACAAGAUGGUAUAAGAUAAGACUUGAAGAAUGUCACGGGCAAAUGCGGGAAGCAGAGAUCAUUUGGAGACACCAGGUAACCUGCCUUCCUCCUGACACACCGAGUCCUCAGCACCUGAUGCAGACAGUUAUUGUGGCCCUGAGAACCCCUAGCCAUGGGGUGUUUCUUGAUGUGUUGACAU
Camelus dromedarius (Arabian camel) is the source of this 421-nucleotide long non-coding RNA. RefSeq lists it as uncharacterized. The record is from RefSeq and is a predicted model, not a curated record. Lineage: Eukaryota; Metazoa; Chordata; Mammalia; Artiodactyla; Camelidae. The transcript has 4 exons.